AACGAACGCUGGCGGCAUGCCUAACACAUGCAAGUCGAACGAGACCUUCGGGUCUAGUGGCGCACGGGUGCGUAACGCGUGGGAACCUGCCCUUAGGUUCGGAAUAACUCCCCGAAAGGGGUGCUAAUACCGGAUAAUGUCUUCGGACCAAAGAUUUAUCGCCUUUGGAUGGGCCCGCGUUGGAUUAGCUAGUUGGUAGGGUAAAAGCCUACCAAGGCGACGAUCCAUAGCUGGUCUGAGAGGAUGAUCAGCCACACUGGGACUGAGACACGGCCCAGACUCCUCCGGGAGGAAGCAGUGGGGAAUAUUGGAAAAGGGGCGAAAGCCUGAACCAGCAAUGCCGGGUGGGGGAUGAAGGCCUUAGGGUUGUAAAGCUCUUUUACCCGGGAUGAUAAUGACAGUACCGGGAGAAUAAGCCCCGGCUAACCCCGU
RNAcentral lists this ribosomal RNA (432 nucleotides) under uncultured bacterium. Its description in RNAcentral is "partial 16S ribosomal RNA". It matches the Rfam family "Bacterial small subunit ribosomal RNA", at positions 29 to 506 of the family's 1533-position model. The record is from RNAcentral.